UACGUAGGGGGCUAGCGUUGUCCGGAAUCAUUGGGCGUAAAGCGCGUGUAGGCGGUCCGGUAAGUCCGCUGUGAAAGUCGGGGGCUCAACCCUCGAAUGCCGGUGGAUACUGUCGGGCUAGAGUGCGGAAGAGGCGAGUGGAAUUCCUGGUGUAGCGGUGAAAUGCGCAGAUAUCAGGAGGAACACCGGUGGCGAAGGCGGCAUCCUGGACCAUUACUGACGCUGAGGCGCGAAAGCUAGGGGAGCAAACGGG
This 253-nucleotide ribosomal RNA is filed under the name uncultured bacterium. RNAcentral describes it as "partial 16S ribosomal RNA". It matches the Rfam family "Bacterial small subunit ribosomal RNA", at positions 524 to 776 of the family's 1533-position model. The record is from RNAcentral.